AUUUUCGGCAGGGAUCAUAAAGAAACGCCUUUCUUUCUCCAAUAAAUAACCCGAGAACCGUCGGCCGCAUCGAUGACCAUGGUGUAGCCCUAGUGGUCGAUCGACCCCUCUUGUUCAUGUCCUUGCGCUUCUCCCUCUCCUCCUUGCCCCCCUUUUGUCGGAACGCUGUCCUCUUCCUGAUCCCCGCCUCGCGACCUCUCAUGGCGCCGACCAAGGUGGUCGCGGAGUACGCCAAGUCCGGCCGGUCCUCGUGCAAGAGCUGCAGUAAGGCGAUCGCGGCCGGCGCGCUGCGGCUCGGCUCCUCGGCCAAUGACCCGCGUGGGUUCGAUCUCGUCCGUUGGUUCCACGUUGAUUGCUUCCCGGCCGCGUCCCUCGCCCUUGCCGCCGCCGACGAGAUCGUCGGCUUUUCAUCUUUGAAGGACCACGAAAAGGACGCAUUGAGGAAGCUGGAGCCUUCCGCAUCAUCAAACCAAAUAACUGAAGAGGUCCAUAAAAGAUGUCGUGGUGCAUAUGUGAAGAUGGAGGCAAAGAGUUCAAAGAAACCAAAGAUCUGCAUUGCGGAUGAAGCUGGGAGUGAAGAUUUGGUGGAAGAGAGACCAGAGGGACAAAAGGCUGGUUCUCAUCUAUCUGUAAAUGCAAAACACAAUUUCCUACAGAUGGAUUUUCAUAUUUCUGACACCAAAGAUAGGUACAAGGAUGCCACACUACCACCAAAAUGGAUAGCCUUUAGGACAAUAAUUUUUAAUGAGAAGGAAGAUGGCUUCCAUGAUUCAGAAAGAAUUGCUGCAUUUGAUUUUGAUGGUUGUCUUGUGAAUACAUCUGUGAAAAGAAUUGGUCCUGAUGCUUGGUCUCUUAUGUAUCCAUCAAUUCCAGAGAAAUUGCAAGAACUAUAUAAGGGGGGCUACAAGCUGGUUAUUUUUACCAAUGAAUCCAAUAUUGAGCGUUGGAAGAACAAGCGACAACAAGCAGUGGAUUCCAAAAUAGGACGGCUUGAAAACUUCAUCAAGUGUGUUAAAGUACCAAUUCAGGUAUUUAUCGCUUGUGGGCUGGGGAAGAACAAGGAUGGGACUGAUGAUCCUUUUCGGAAACCACAACCAGGAAUGUGGAAACUAAUGGAGGAACACUUCAAUUCUAGCAUUGCAGUCGACAUGGAUCAGUAAAAUCAUCAUUUCUAAUCUCACUUUUCACCCUCUUCAUCCUGCACAUUUCCACAUAGGAAGAUCCUUUUAUGUUGGUGAUGCAGCAGGAAGAACUAAUGAUCACAGUGAUGCAGAUAUAAAAUUUGCCAAGGUGGUGGGAUUGAAAUUUUACGUUCCGGAAGAGUUCUUUGGAGCAUAAGAUGACCUUUCCAUCUGCCGCCUCAACUUUUUGUGGGUAUAUAUACUUUUUCUUGGUAGACUAGUGUGGACACCAUGGGCGAUGUACUUACUGUGUGGUAGUAUGGUUAAUCUUCUCGGUUGGCUCAUUGGAGCCAAUUUAUCUGGUGGCUGCAGAACAAGCAGCGGAUUCUCUCAAAAGAUUGAUCUCAGUCAGCGUCAACGUUCUGUUCCGCAUGCAAUGUAUUCACAAUCGUGUCUUUUUUAUUUAUUUAUUUAUUUUUUCUUUGA
This is an RNA transcript of Musa acuminata AAA Group (dessert banana), 1607 nucleotides long. It is a transcript of the gene named polynucleotide 3'-phosphatase ZDP-like, with no coding region annotated. NCBI's taxonomy places the organism in Eukaryota, Viridiplantae, Streptophyta, Magnoliopsida, Zingiberales, Musaceae. The record is from RefSeq and is a predicted model, not a curated record. The transcript is spliced from 13 exons.